RNAcentral lists this ribosomal RNA (1287 nucleotides) under Pachypsolus irroratus. RNAcentral describes it as "eukaryotic LSU rRNA". It matches the Rfam family "Eukaryotic large subunit ribosomal RNA", at positions 56 to 934 of the family's 3401-position model. The record is from RNAcentral. Lineage: Eukaryota; Metazoa; Platyhelminthes; Trematoda; Plagiorchiida; Pachypsolidae.
ACAACUAACAAGGAUUCCCUUAUAACUGAGAGUGAACAGGGAUGAGCCCAGCACCGAAGCCUGUGGCCAUUUGGUCACUAGGCAAUGUGUGUUCAGGUCGUUCCGCGGGGGUACUGCUCCACCCUAAGUCCAGCAAUGAGUACGGUUUUACGGACAUGGCCCACUGAGGGUGAAAGGCCCGUGGGGGUGGAGAUUCGGCAGGCCAGUACCUCUCUGGUUAGACCUUGGAGUCGGGUUGUUUGUGAAUGCAGCCCAAAGUGGGUGGUAAACUCCAUCCAAGGCUAAAUACGUGCACGAGUCCGAUAGCGAACAAGUACCGUGAGGGAAAGUUGAAAAGUACUUUGAAGAGAGAGUAAACAGUGCGUGAAACCGCUCAGAGGUAAACGGGUGGAGUUGAACUGCAAACGCUGAGAAUUCAGCUGGUGAGUGUGGCUUGAGCUUGGUUAAAUUGGUUGAACCCUGAAGUCUGCUUAGUGGCAGGCCUUUGCCCUUGGGUGGAGGUGCGCGAUGCACUUAUCAAGUGUUGUGCGCUUUUGGUGUUCCUCGGACCGACUUGCCAGUGCAUUUUCUCAGUGUAGUCACCACGACCGGCACCGCUGUCGGGCUGUUAUGGUUAAACCGGUUUUGCAUUGUCCUUGCGGUUCUGCUUUAUCGGGAUGGCAGGUAGCCUGUUGACUUGUUUGUGGUUUGCCGCAAGCGCUUGGUCUUCAGGUGUAAUCAGCUGACUGUGACGGCUCUGUGCAGUGUGUCGGAGACAGCGGCCAGUGGUGUGUGCGUGCGUGCCUAUUUGGUUGGCGGAUCCGGGUUUGGUUAUUACGUUGCCUGUUCAAGCAGGCCUGAUGAUGGCUCGGGUUCGUUCGGCUGGUGGUUACGCGUGUGUCACUAUUCCAAGGGCCAAAAGUCUGUGGUGCAGUGGUAGACUAUCCACCUGACCCGUCUUGAAACACGGACCAAGGAGAGUAACAUGUGCGCGAGUCAUUGGGCAUUACGAAACCCAGAGGCGCAGUGAAAGUAAAGGUCCGGCUUGUCUGGACUGAGGUGAGAUCCUGUCGUUUCUCACGCGUGGUACCACCAAGCAUCGAGCGGCAGGCGCAUCACCGGCCCGUCCCAUGACAAUUGUUAUUUGACAGUAUCCAGUCGGGGCGGAGCAUGAGCGUACAUGUUGAGACCCGAAAGAUGGUGAGCUAUGCUUGCGCAGGUUGAGCCAGAGGAAACUCUGGUGGAGGACCGCAGCGGUUCUGACGUGCAAAUCGAUCGCCAGACGUGAGUAUAGGGGCGAAAGACUAA